GCUUCUCCGGCUCUCUGGGUCCUGCGCGUUCAGCCGCCUCUGUGUAAGCGCCCUGAGGACCAGGUCCCCACUGCCCCUGAUGCCGCAGGCCCCCCCGCAAUGCAUGCAGGCCCGGCAUGCAGGCCUCUGAUCUGCAAAGGGGAAAGGAGAGGAAAGAUUUCAGAGAGAACAGCCCUGCAUGGAGUUGGAACCUUGAAAUGACUGAAUUUAGAACCAGAGUUGCCUGCUUACGGGAAAGGAGCUACUCAAACAGAAGAGACAGAGUGACAUUGAGGUGCCAAGAUGAAGUAUGUUUCCCGAACAAAGUGGGUAUAGGAAUUUGAGAGCCAAUAGCUCCACUCUAGAAAAUUAAAGACGGGCGUAUUUCUGCAUAUCGGGGCCAGAGUGAAGGAACCUCCGCCGGCUUCACUGCACAUUAAAGACCCCCCUGGGCUGCUCUUGCCUCAUGAAUCUGAUGCCCCCUGAGCAACCUCUCACCCUUCAGCACUGCUCAGGUGGGCUCUGUGCUGCUGUGCAGUGGAGCAGGUGGGAAAGGAAUCCGCUGUUCCUCCAAAAUUCACGUUUACCCAGAACCUCAGAAUGUGAGUUUGUUUGGAAAUAAGCUCCUUGCAGAUGUGAUUAAGGCUCCAGCUGAGGUUAUACUGGAUUAGGGCAGGCCCUAAAUCCAAGGAGAGAGCCUUGUAAGAGACAGAAAAAGACAUACAGAGACAAGAGGAAAGAGGCCAGGGAGAUGGGGCAGAGACUGGAGUGAUGCUGCCACGAGCCAAGGAAUGCUGGAAGCCACCAGAAGUGGGAGGGGGUGAGGAAGACCAUUCCCUAGAGACUUCAGCGGGACCAUGGCACUGCUGAUAGCUUAGUGUUGGGCUGCUGGCCUCCAGAACUAUGAAAGUAAAUUUAUGUUAUUUUAAGCCACCCAGCUUGAGGUAAUUCUUAUGGCAGCCCUACAGAGCAAAUACACUUCUCUGACACAAUUAUGGUGAUAAGAAUUGGCCCAACCCUAACAAUGUGGGGUCUGGCAUAAGCGUACACAUCCCCCAUGUCUAAAUAUUUAAAACCACACACUGCUCUUCAUAUCCGUUAGGAUGGCUAUUAUUUAAAAGAACCCCCACAAACACAAAAUAACAGGUGUUGGUGAGAAUGUGGAGAAAUUGGAAAUCUCCUGAAUUGCUGGUGGGAUUGUAAAAUGGUGCAGCCACUGUAGAAAACAGUUCUCCAAAUAGUUAAACAUAGAUUCCCAUUUGAUUCCCUAGUUACACUUUGGGUAUGUACCCAAAAGAAUUGAAGGCAGGAACUUGAACAGAUACUUGUACACCAGGGAUCAUAGCAGCCCUGAUUCACACUAGCUGAAAGGUGGAAACGACCCAAUUGCCCAUGAUGGAGGAAUGGAUACACAAAACGUGGUAUGUAGCUACAAUGGGACAUUAUUCAGCCAUAAAAAGGAAGGAAAUUCUGACACAUUGAUACAUGUGAUCUGACACAUUGACACACGUUGAUACACCUCCUUGGUUAAAUUUAUUCCUAUAAUAUGGAUGAACCGUGAAACCGUU
RNAcentral lists this long non-coding RNA (1547 nucleotides) under Homo sapiens (human). Its description in RNAcentral is "HSALNT0116015". The record is from RNAcentral. Lineage: Eukaryota; Metazoa; Chordata; Mammalia; Primates; Hominidae.